This 873-nucleotide ribosomal RNA is filed under the name uncultured Staphylococcus sp. Its description in RNAcentral is "bacterial SSU rRNA". It matches the Rfam family "Bacterial small subunit ribosomal RNA", at positions 32 to 886 of the family's 1533-position model. The record is from RNAcentral. Lineage: Bacteria; Bacillati; Bacillota; Bacilli; Caryophanales; Staphylococcaceae.
AACGCUGGCGGCGUGCCUAAUACAUGCAAGUCGAGCGAACGGACGAGAAGCUUGCUUCUCUGAUGUUAGCGGCGGACGGGUGAGUAACACGUGGAUAACCUACCUAUAAGACUGGGAUAACUUCGGGAAACCGGAGCUAAUACCGGAUAAUAUUUUGAACCGCAUGGUUCAAAAGUGAAAGACGGUCUUGCUGUCACUUAUAGAUGGAUCCGCGCUGCAUUAGCUAGUUGGUAAGGUAACGGCUUACCAAGGCAACGAUGCAUAGCCGACCUGAGAGGGUGAUCGGCCACACUGGAACUGAGACACGGUCCAGACUCCUACGGGAGGCAGCAGUAGGGAAUCUUCCGCAAUGGGCGAAAGCCUGACGGAGCAACGCCGCGUGAGUGAUGAAGGUCUUCGGAUCGUAAAACUCUGUUAUUAGGGAAGAACAUAUGUGUAAGUAACUGUGCACAUCUUGACGGUACCUAAUCAGAAAGCCACGGCUAACUACGUGCCAGCAGCCGCGGUAAUACGUAGGUGGCAAGCGUUAUCCGGAAUUAUUGGGCGUAAGGCGCGCGUAGGCGGUUUUUUAAGUCUGAUGUGAAAGCCCACGGCUCAACCGUGGAGGGUCAUUGGAAACUGGAAAACUUGAGUGCAGAAGAGGAAAGUGGAAUUCCAUGUGUAGCGGUGAAAUGCGCAGAGAUAUGGAGGAACACCAGUGGCGAAGGCGACUUUCUGGUCUGUAACUGACGCUGAUGUGCGAAAGCGUGGGGAUCAAACAGGAUUAGAUACCCUGGUAGUCCACGCCGUAAACGAUGAGAGCUAGGUGUUAGGGGGUUUCCGCCCCUUAGUGCUGCAGCUAACGCAUUAAGCACUCCGCCUGGGGAGUACGAC